AUUUUUGUGGUGUAAAAAACACAUUACAUUUUCAAUGUAAAAAUAAGAAUUUAUUCUUCAAAAAUA
RNAcentral lists this transfer RNA (66 nucleotides) under Lophosquilla costata. RNAcentral describes it as "tRNA-Glu". It matches the Rfam family "tRNA". From Rfam's summary of the family: Transfer RNA (tRNA) molecules are approximately 80 nucleotides in length. Their secondary structure includes four short double-helical elements and three loops (D, anti-codon, and T loops). Further hydrogen bonds mediate the characteristic L-shaped molecular structure. tRNAs have two regions of fundamental functional importance: the anti-codon, which is responsible for specific mRNA codon recognition, and the 3' end, to which the tRNAs corresponding amino acid is attached (by aminoacyl-tRNA synthetases). tRNAs cope with the degeneracy of the genetic code in two manners: having more than one tRNA (with a specific anti-codon) for a particular amino acid; and 'wobble' base-pairing, i.e. permitting non-standard base-pairing at the 3rd anti-codon position. Lineage: Eukaryota; Metazoa; Arthropoda; Malacostraca; Stomatopoda; Squillidae. The record is from RNAcentral.